This is a long non-coding RNA of Peromyscus eremicus (cactus mouse), 883 nucleotides long. RefSeq lists it as uncharacterized. The record is from RefSeq and is a predicted model, not a curated record. Lineage: Eukaryota; Metazoa; Chordata; Mammalia; Rodentia; Cricetidae. The transcript is spliced from 3 exons.
CUGCGCGCCGCCCCCCCUCCCAUGUCCUUCCACACAGCAACGAGUGGAUGGAUUAGACUGUUUGGUUUUCUUCCCCCAAAGCACUACUAAAUCAUUUCAUCAGUGCUGCAGAUGGAUAACAGUGCGAGACCUCUGCUUUAUAUGUUCAUAGGUUCAUUCCAGGAAAACCAAACAUUUGAAGAAGGAAGCAUACACACCCACUUGAAAACUGGAGCAUACAAAUAGUUUUAAAAACAAUAAUUUGUUUUGCAAAAAAAGAUUUACCCAGACUCCUUCUUGUGGACUGUUAGAUCUCAUAUAACAAGGGAGACAAAGCCAGUGCUAUUACAUACAUGUUACAUGUAUAUGUUACAUGCAUACCACAUUCUUGUAAUUUUUGUUUGGGAUUGUUAAGUGUUUUUGUUUGUUUGUUUGUUUUUGAGACUGAACCUCCCCAUGUAGACCAGGCUGGCCUUGAAUUCACAGAGAUCCACCUGCCUCUGUCCCCAAGCGUUUGGAUCAAGGCGUUUGCCAUCAUGCACAGUUUGGAACUAAGUUGGUAACUGGCCAGAAACCCUGGGGACCAGCUGAAUAUGAACUGCAAGUGUGUCCUUACUGGAGAGCUUUGCCUCAGUAUUUUACGUAUUUCUUUCAGUCGGAGAUUUAAAUGGCUUGCUGUCUUCAGAAGAAUUUUCACAGUCCAGUGUUGUCGUCAUGUAACAGCCGCCUUGCUGUUUGCUAGGUCACCUGGAACUUUUAUCAUUCUUUUCAAAUGAUUGGCAGAAUAUUUCCAGCAGCAUCUUAAUAUUAUUCAACUGGUCUCUAAUGGAUGGACAUUUAAAUUGUUUACAACUUUCAAUAUUUUAUCUUUUUAAAAAAUUUUUUUUUUUAAUUUUGCAAUACA